AGAGUUUGAUCAUGGCUCAGGACGAACGCUGGCGGCGUGCUUAACACAUGCAAGUCGAACGAGGUCCAUCCUUCGGGAGAAGACCUAGUGGCGAACGGGUGAGUAACACGUGAGCAACCUGCCCCGAAGACUGGGAUAACAGCGGGAAACCGCUGCUAAUACCGGAUACCCCCAUCGGACCACAUGGCCUGAUGAGGAAA
This 200-nucleotide ribosomal RNA is filed under the name uncultured bacterium. RNAcentral's name for it is "partial 16S ribosomal RNA". It matches the Rfam family "Bacterial small subunit ribosomal RNA", at positions 8 to 205 of the family's 1533-position model. The record is from RNAcentral.